Molecule: ribosomal RNA, 247 nt
Filed under: uncultured bacterium
Lineage: Bacteria
Description: partial 16S ribosomal RNA
Rfam family: Bacterial small subunit ribosomal RNA
Source: RNAcentral
AUACAGAGGGUGCGAGCGUUAAUCGGAUUUACUGGGCGUAAAGCGUGCGUAGGCGGCUGAUUAAGUCGGAUGUGAAAUCCCUGAGCUUAACUUAGGAAUUGCAUUCGAUACUGGUCAGCUAGAGUAUGGGAGAGGAUGGUAGAAUUCCAGGUGUAGCGGUGAAAUGCGUAGGGAUCUGGAGGAAUACCGAUGGCGAAGGCAGCCAUCUGGCCUAAUACUGACGCUGAGGUACGAAAGCAUGGGGAGC